CCUACGGGUGGCAGCAGUAGGGAAUUUUGCGCAAUGGGGGAAACCCUGACGCAGCAACGCCGCGUGAUCGAUGAAGCCCUUCGGGGUGUAAAGAUCUGUCAGUGGGGACGAAACCUGAAGGUACCCACAGAGGAAGCACCGGCUAACUCCGUGCCAGCAGCCGCGGUACUACGGGGGGUGCAAGCGUUGUCCGGAAUCAUUGGGCGUAAAUAGUUCGUAGGUGGGACGUUAAGUCUGGUGUUAAAGGCGGAAGCUCAACGUCCGUAGGGCACUGGCUACUGGCGAGCUUGAGUGCGGGAGAGGUAAAGGGAAUUCCUGGGGUAGCGGUGAAAUGCGUAGAUAUCAGGAGGAACAUCGGUGGCGAAAGCGCUUUACUGGGCCGUAAUUGACGCUGAGGAACGAAAGCCGGGGUAGCAAAUGGGAUUAGAUACCCGAGUAGUC
This 441-nucleotide ribosomal RNA is filed under the name uncultured bacterium. RNAcentral describes it as "partial 16S ribosomal RNA". It matches the Rfam family "Bacterial small subunit ribosomal RNA", at positions 338 to 795 of the family's 1533-position model. The record is from RNAcentral.